RNAcentral lists this ribosomal RNA (1890 nucleotides) under Galdieria partita. Its description in RNAcentral is "large subunit ribosomal RNA". The stretch from base 83 to 1763 matches the Rfam family "Bacterial large subunit ribosomal RNA". Lineage: Eukaryota; Rhodophyta; Bangiophyceae; Galdieriales; Galdieriaceae. The record is from RNAcentral.
AGAGAAAAGGAACAACUGAGUAUCAGAAAGAAAAGAGGGAGUAAAGUAGAAGAGAAAGAUCGAGAAAGAAAGAGAAAGAGAACGAGUAAUGUGAAUGAAAGCAGGAAAGUAUUUGAAGAAGAGAGUGUAAAGUGCGUACCUUUUGCAUAAUGUCCCAGCGAGUGAGAAAUAGGAAGCAAAAAGGAAGAAGAAGAAGUAGCCUAAGAAGACCCGAAGCUAGUUGAUCUUGUGCGAUCCAAGCGGUAAGGCUGAACCAGUGUCUGUGGAAAAAGACUUGGAAGAGAUGGCAUAAGGGGUGAAAGGUCAAUCAAAGCUAGUGAUAGCUGGUACUCCUCGAAAGCUAUAGAAGUAGCGUAUGCAAGGAGGAAGGAGAGGUAAGAGAAGGUAAAAGAGAGAAGGAAGAAGGCAGAGAGGGACUAGGAGCGAGAAGGUGUAAAGUCGAGAGGGAAAAAGCCCGGAAGCAAAGAUAAGGUAUCAAAGAAAAGAAAGAGGGAAAAGGAGAGGAAAGAGAGGGUAGGCUUAGAAGCAGCAAACCAGAGAGGAAGGCGUUAAAGCGUGAAGAAGAGAGGAUCCGAAAAAGAAGAGAAAAAGGGAAGAAAGAGGACCGAAUCAAGGAAGAGGGUAGAGGAGCAAAAAAGAGAAGAGAGAAUGCUGGGUGGAGUAGCGAGACGAGAAGAAGGGAAGAGAAGGAAAGAAAGAGGAAAGGGUUACGAGAGAAGAGAGUAAAAAGAGGAGAGUGUAAGACGGCGUCAUAAUGUAAGAACCGAAAGGAGGAGAAGAAAAGAGAGAGAAGAAGGAGAAAAGAAGAGGGAAGCCGUACCGAAGACCGACACAGGUACUCGAGGAGAAAGAAGACCCAAAAGGAGGUGAGAGAAAGCACGAUAAGGAACUAGGCAAAAGGAUAUGGUAACUGAGGAAGAACAUAUGAAAGAAGCUGCACCGACUGUUUAACAAAAACAAAGCACUCUGCAGGAAAGAGAGAAUGGUAAGUAUAGAGUGUGCGGCCUGCCAAAUAGUAGAGAAGAAAUAGAUGAAAGUGAGUAAAGCGAGUAGUGUAUGAGGUAUAGAGAAUGGCGGUCCUAACUGUAAGGAUCCAAAGGUAGCGAAGUAAAUAGGCGUUUGAAAGGCGUCAGGUAUGAAAGGAGAAACGAGUGUGGCACUGUCUAGUCGUGUUACUCAGCGAAACAGCAAUAACUGUGAAAAUGCAGUAAGAAAGCAGUAGGACGGAAAGACCCCAUAAUUCUUGACUAGAUAGGUAUAGGGAGGAGAGAGAAUCAUGAAGAAGAGGAGGUGGGGUAAGAGAGUGAAAGACCACUGCAUGAGGAGAAGGAAUCUGACUGAGAAAGGAAAAUAGGCUUAGGCUAGUUUGGCUGGGGAAGUAAAGCCUAAGAAAGAGUAAAUUAGGCAAGCAAAGGCAUGAGAGAAGUAUAAUAGCGGUAAGCAUGCUUGAAGAAAGAAGAAAGAGAUUUCGAAGAGGGAGUAACGAACUCAGCUAUAGGGAACAGGUGAAAGAAGAGAAGAGCACCGAACGAUCGAAGAAGAAACUUUGGGGGUAACAGGUUAAUGUGGUGUUAGAGAACGUAUCAAGCACCACGAUUGACACCUCGAUGUCGGUUCAUCACAUCCUAGGGCAGAAGAGGGUUCUAAGGGUUUGGCUGUUCGCCAAUGAAAGUGGUACGUGAACUGGGUUCAGAACGUCGUGAGACAGUUCGGUCCCUAUCCGCUGCAAGAAGGAGAGAGGAAAAGCUAAGCGAUUACUGGUACGAGAGGAACGUAAUGGGUUGACCAAGUGUGAGGAGCAAAGUCAAUGUAGCAAGAAGAGAAGAGGCGAAGGCAAUAGCGAAGAAAUCUAGAGGAAGGAAGCUGUAAGAAGAAGAGAAGGAUCGGCAG